RNAcentral lists this ribosomal RNA (1405 nucleotides) under uncultured bacterium. RNAcentral's name for it is "bacterial SSU rRNA". It matches the Rfam family "Bacterial small subunit ribosomal RNA". The record is from RNAcentral.
GAGUUUGAUCCUGGCUCAGGACGAACGCUGGCGGCGUGCCUAAUACAUGCAAGUAGAACGCUGAAGAGAGGAGCUUGCUCUUCUUGGAUGAGUUGCGAACGGGUGAGUAACGCGUAGGUAACCUGCCUUGUAGCGGGGGAUAACUAUUGGAAACGAUAGCUAAUACCGCAUAACAAUGGAUGACACAUGUCGUUUAUUUGAAAGGGGCAAUUGCUCCACUACAAGAUGGACCUGCGUUGUAUUAGCUAGUAGGUGAGGUAACGGCUCACCUAGGCGACGAUACAUAGCCGACCUGAGAGGGUGAUCGGCCACACUGGGACUGAGACACGGCCCAGACUCCUACGGGAGGCAGCAGUAGGGAAUCUUCGGCAAUGGGGGCAACCCUGACCGAGCAACGCCGCGUGAGUGAAGAAGGUUUUCGGAUCGUAAAGCUCUGUUGUAAGUCAAGAACGAGUGUGAGAGUGGAAAGUUCACACUGUGACGGUAGCUUACCAGAAAGGGACGGCUAACUACGUGCCAGCAGCCGCGGUAAUACGUAGGUCCCGAGCGUUGUCCGGAUUUAUUGGGCGUAAAGCGAGCGCAGGCGGUUUGAUAAGUCUGAAGUUAAAGGCUGUGGCUCAACCAUAGUUCGCUUUGGAAACUGUCAAACUUGAGUGCAGAAGGGGAGAGUGGAAUUCCAUGUGUAGCGGUGAAAUGCGUAGAUAUAUGGAGGAACACCGGUGGCGAAAGCGGCUCUCUGGUCUGUAACUGACGCUGAGGCUCGAAAGCGUGGGGAGCGAACAGGAUUAGAUACCCUGGUAGUCCACGCCGUAAACGAUGAGUGCUAGGUGUUGGAUCCUUUCCGGGAUUCAGUGCCGCAGCUAACGCAUUAAGCACUCCGCCUGGGGAGUACGACCGCAAGGUUGAAACUCAAAGGAAUUGACGGGGGCCCGCACAAGCGGUGGAGCAUGUGGUUUAAUUCGAAGCAACGCGAAGAACCUUACCAGGUCUUGACAUCCCGAUGCUAUUUCUAGAGAUAGAAAGUUACUUCGGUACAUCGGUGACAGGUGGUGCAUGGUUGUCGUCAGCUCGUGUCGUGAGAUGUUGGGUUAAGUCCCGCAACGAGCGCAACCCCUAUUGUUAGUUGCCAUCAUUCAGUUGGGCACUCUAGCGAGACUGCCGGUAAUAAGCCGGAGGAAGGUGGGGAUGACGUCAAAUCAUCAUGCCCCUUAUGACCUGGGCUACACACGUGCUACAAUGGUUGGUACAACGAGUUGCGAGUCGGUGACGGCAAGCUAAUCUCUUAAAGCCAAUCUCAGUUCGGAUUGUAGGCUGCAACUCGCCUACAUGAAGUCGGAAUCGCUAGUAAUCGCGGAUCAGCACGCCGCGGUGAAUACGUUCCCGGGCCUUGUACACACCGCCCGUC